AAUAUGACAAAAUAUCUACUAAUUAUUGAUGUGGCGUUGAAAAAGACACGAUUAGAGACUUAAAAAAAUCGAAUUUUUUUAAAAAUAUUUAAUAUAUGAAACUUUUUGAGUUUUGCUGGAAAAUACUGCUAAAAAUAUGUGUUAAUAACUUGGUUAUGGGAAUAAGAAGCUCAAUGUUGCCAGAUCAUACCAACAGUACUGGACUCGCCACAAUGUUAAAAAAGUCAAAUAUUUUAUAGGAGUUUCACUUUGAGCAAAAUUAUGGAUUUAACUUACAUAAACUCCCAACAUAAAUAUCAAAUUUGAUAUGCAGAACGUUCCUAAGAUUUGAAAAAAAAUAUAAGUCAUCAUUCUCUCCCCGCGCUGGUUCUUCUUGAGCAAAACGCAGAAAAUAGUAAGUAAUUGAGCAGCACAGCUCAACACUGAUCCUAUGAUUAUAAUUUCUGGUCCGUACGUUCCGUUAUUUCUAGUAUGAGAUCCGUAAUAGACGUACAUUAUAUUGUCGAUGAAGUCGUGAUCUCUUAGGUCGGGAUCAGCGAGGGAAUCGUCUGGAAGUUCGACGUUGGGAAGAACAUCUACCGUAUAUUUCGAUUGGAGGUUUUGGUGAUUUGGUAGAACUAAAGAUUUUGGAUUCGGUUCAAGAUUAACGGAAUUGUUGUCGAUUUCGUAAUCAUAGUUUAAAUAGUAGUCGUCUUCGUUGAGUUUGCGGUUAUUUGAGACAUUUUUUGUACCUACAAUUGAAAGUUUAACUAAAAUAUAACAAAGUGCACGACGGUCAGUGGUAUCAAAAUUCUUUUAUAUAUAUAUUUAAUGUAAUAUAUGCAAUGCCCUAAUUGUAGAGACGUCACUUUCUUUCAUUUGUUAUUUCACUGACAUGAAGUAGUUUCGCCAUCUUGCUUUUUGAGAUUAGUGUUGUUUCGAUUGUUACGAAAUAAAUUAGAAGCGGUGGAGGUUUUCCAUCAUGUGAUUCAAUCUACGAUUUAUCGAACACAUUUUCUACAUACUAUCUUCUAUCCAUAGAAAUCACACAUAACAACAUAAGAUCGAUUGUCUCCUCCACAAGACAUAUGUAAUAGUUUCUUUAAUUUGACGGUGGUACUAGUAAAAAGAGACAAACAUAUAAUUGACGUAACGUGAAUAACUGAUCUGUGUGUUUUAAGCGAUUUUUUGUAUUAAACGUGUAUAUAUUGUUAUAGAAUCAGUUCUUUUAACAUCGUAAAUUCGGAAUCGCUGGGAAAGGGUUCGUUGCGGAUUUUAGAUUUUUACGAAUUUUAGAUCACACUAACAUUUGAAUGCAUUUAUGGUGGCGUCAUCUAUCGCGUUAAUGAGGAAUCAUAUCGCAUUACAUAAUAAUGUAAACAGAGGUAGAGGUAUGCAUAAAAUAUAAUAAAAUCGCAACACAUUUAUAAAAUAAUAAAAAGAUUAAAUACUUUAUAAACGUAUUCUUCAUGCUAUCGAUAUGUAUGGUUUCGCCAUCUAGUGUCAAAUACGGAAGUUAAAAAUUACGAUACAAACGUAUCAUUCCGGAUUUACGAUGUUCAACUGUAUAAUACAUCAUCAACUUGUAGUAAUUUUUUGACAUUUUAUAAUAACUGAAAUGCUGUGGGAAUAUUACAAUACUUAUGUUAAUACUUUCCUGAAGCCAACUCACAGUUAGAAUAAAAUUAAGAAAAAUUAUUAUAUACAGGUUGAUUUUUCAUCAGUUGCUUAUAGUGUGGUAUCUGAAAUUAUUAGAAAAUUGGUAAUUUAAUGUAAGUUUGAUCAUAGAGGUUUUAACUAAUAAAGGUUUUAGCUUAUGCAUUUCAACGUUUCUAAUUUUGUAACAGCAAACGGGAAGUCAAGCUAAUAAAUCAGUUUAAGGCCAUUUAUAGUUGCCGUUUGACGUCAUACGAGUAUGGUGCUCACGUGAUUGAAGAUCACUUUUAUCAAAGUUGUUAAUUAUUAGAUUUGUUAUAUGAUUGAAUAAUAUGUUCUCAAUGUUAUUAGCUUAACAUUUAGAUAACGCCAUCUAGCGACAAUAAUAAGAUUAUUAUGAAAACUACAGGUAUGCCAAUGUGUAAUGAUACUUUAAUUAAAAAAUAAAAAAGUUUCAAAAUUCAAAUACAGGUGAUACUAUAAGUGUUAUAUACAAUUUAACACCUUUUUGCUACAAUCACAAAAGAUACCAUCUAUCUCUCCUCCAUGAAAGGUACGUUAUAUGAUUAUACGUAAGAGUGUAAUGUGUACUAUAUUACCGAUCCACAAAAAUAUUUGUUGUAUAUUCAACAGAUGGCGUUAUGAAUGAAAUUUAUAUAUAUUGAAAAAUUAUUAUCUUUGAUUACAAUAUUUUCAAAACGAUUACUAAAUGCUGUGAAUAAAGACAAUGUUUGAUAAAUUGGCAAAACCACAGUUUUUAUUUUCGAAAAAAUAAUCAUUAUGAACCAGUUUUAAGCAAAGUAGAUGUUUUUUUAAUUACGUAUAAGAAUUUAAAUUUGAAUAUUUAUUUAUAUUGAUAUGAAAUUGUUCUAUUUUAAUUUGUAGUUUGACCUUAAUAGAAGCUAAUUGUUAAUAAAAUCUAAAGCUAUUGUUUUUCUUAAACUAUCUUCAUUCGGACUACCAAAAUAACGAACUAUCCAUUCUAAAACUUGAAAUUAGUAGAAUUUAAGCAUGCCACUUACCUACAACACAACUACUAGCACAAAACAAACAAAUUAUUAACAAUAAAUUCAUUUUUAAUUAUCUACUGCUAAAAAUCCUGAUUUCUAGUAAGUAGCUCCAUAGGGAAGCUGCGAAUCGGCACAAAUCAAACACUCAUCGUUCAAAAUAAGGAAAUAUCGUAAAAUUUUCGUUUGGUCAACUAUUAUAAGGAUAAAUCGUUCGAUCUGUCAAACUGUGGUUGGUAUAUCGAUAGAAAAUUAUCCGGAAAACUAAACUGGACGAUUGUAAGGCGUAUGCGCCAAACUCUAAUCAAUAAAGCUAAAAAGUAUAUAGUUAUUAGGAUUAAAAAGUGUUUAAUUUUGACUUAAUUUUUGUUUUGGAUCAUUUUCGGAAGCAACAUUUUUUUAAUGAACGUAUAUAGUGUUUAGUAGCGUGUAGAGAUUUGAAAUAGUUUUGAGGUUAUUUAUUUUAGUUUGUUGAAAGAUAAAUUUUGUUCUUAAGUAUUAUAAUUAAUAAAUAAUUUUAUCACAUUUCAAAAAUGUAUCCACUUGUUUAAAUUAUUCGAUUAUCAGGCAAAUAGUGAGCAGCAAGAUUUUAGCACUUGUAAAUAUACGUAACGAAGCGAAAACGGAGAUGGAUAGGUUACAACAGGCAAAAGGAAAAGAUGCGGACCUGUAUGAACAAGAAGAACUUUUUGCAACCGAUAGACUUGGGAACAUGGAGGAAGACUACAGAAAUAGCGAUAAACAGAAGGAAAUGAGAAGCUUUCGUCAAGAAAAUUGUACAGAAGUAUGGGGGUAGCAACCCCAAUCAGCUGAUGACGAUGAUUAAUUCUUCGAUAUAGUUUAAUAUAUGUAAUUACAUUUAUUUAAAUUAAUUUGUUUUACCUGAAAAAGGGGUAGGUUCAAUAAAAGACACUUAGUGUUAAAGGGGAAAAAUUUAUUGAAUUUCUGAGAAAUCACAAUUUAUAAUAACACUAAUAAUAAAAAAAAUUGCGCACCUUAACAAUAACGUGGACUCUAAAUAAAAAAAAAUUUCCCCGUUUU
This is a long non-coding RNA of Diorhabda carinulata, 3683 nucleotides long. RefSeq lists it as uncharacterized. The transcript is spliced from 3 exons. Lineage: Eukaryota; Metazoa; Arthropoda; Insecta; Coleoptera; Chrysomelidae. The record is from RefSeq and is a predicted model, not a curated record.